GACGAACGCUGGCGGCGUGCUUAACACAUGCAAGUCGAACGGAAAGGCCCUGCUUGCCGGGUACUCGAGUGGCGAACGGGUGAGUAACACGUGGGUGAUCUGCCCUGCACUUCGGGAUAAGCCUGGGAAACUGGGUCUAAUACCGGAUAGGAGCCAUUUUUAGUGUGAUGGUUGGAAAGUUUUUUCGGUGUAGGAUGAGCUCGCGGCCUAUCAGCUUGUUGGUGGGGUAAUGGCCUACCAAGGCGGCGACGGGUAGCCGGCCUGAGAGGGUGGACGGCCACAUUGGGACUGAGAUACGACCCAGACUCCUACGGGAGGCAGCAGUGGGGAAUAUUGCACAAUGGGCGCAAGCCUGAUGCAGCGACGCCGCGUGGGGGAUGACGGCCUUCGGGUUGUAAACUCCUUUCGCUAGGGACGAAGCUUUUUGUGACGGUACCUAGAUAAGAAGCACCGGCUAACUACGUG
RNAcentral lists this ribosomal RNA (465 nucleotides) under uncultured bacterium. Its description in RNAcentral is "partial 16S ribosomal RNA". It matches the Rfam family "Bacterial small subunit ribosomal RNA", at positions 28 to 507 of the family's 1533-position model. The record is from RNAcentral.